Molecule: non-coding RNA, 24 nt
Filed under: Mus musculus (house mouse)
Lineage: Eukaryota; Metazoa; Chordata; Mammalia; Rodentia; Muridae
Source: RNAcentral
UAACGUACGUAUGUUUGAAAUGUG